GAAAAAGAAAAUGAAAAAAGAACCAAGGAUUUAAUUCCUAUUUGCUUUCUAAAAGCUAGUAAUAAUCAUCUACAAUCCAACAGUAUUUUAUUUUUAGUAAACCAAUUACAAUUUUACAGUAACUAUAGUUGUUGCCGAGUAUGAAAUGUCACAAAAAAUGCAACAGCAUUCCCGUUUUCUUUAGGUCUCUAUUUUGCACGUUGUUUGCUUGCUUUUUGUAAGGGCUCCAGAAACCCUGCACUCGCCUUCACGCCAAGGUAACGAUAGAUACAAUACAAUUGUUGUACUGAUUUAACUACAGUUGUAUAAAAUACUGGUAGUGCGACUCUAAUGUAAACAAGCCCUCAAUGAUUACUGGAGGCAAGGCAACAGGAAGAACUACCCCAGAAACUUUACUCUGAAAGCACCUGCGUUUCUGAAGGCCCUCAUGAAAGCACGAAAUCAUAACCAAACGAUCCCCUUUCAUCUCUGCCCUCUGAACCCUUGGCCGUCUGCAGAUUCUCCUAGUAUUAAGCUGAGAAGGAGGCUCCGUUUUCAGUCCUUCCCCGAGGGAAAGGUGCCAGGCGGCAGCUGCCCGACUGCUCCAGCCAACACGAAACUCUCUGGCCGGCGUCCGCGCGCGAGGGGGAGACGGCGACCACCCCGUCACCGAGCGUGGGGAUGGCUCUCGCCGCUACGUGAACGGAGUGCAGCACACCUUAGAAGGACUGAAUGCUUCAUUCCCCACUCAGAAACAGGGAGGAAUUUAACCCCAAAGGACGCUGAACCACAUGGGGCCAAGUGAAGGAGCUGCCACCGGCAUCUGUGGAGCUAUCCCAAUUUGAAGUCUAUUCCAGUACUUACAUUCCAGUCACAUCCGAGGUCAGCGUGCAGUCAAGCCAUAAAGCUUGGGCAUGACCUUCCCAAAGAUCCUUUGCAAGCCCAUCAUACAAGGCUCAAGGAAGCAAUACCUUGCACUGUUGCAAUUCCACGCGUUACUCGGAGCAUACAUUGCAGCCAUCCGCCUAAGCAGCGUGCCUAGGAGAGUGCUAUUUGUUUUAGGCCUGUCCUGGUGAUUUCUCCCUGAUCACGAGACCCUGCAUGCACUGGUCUAUUCGUGAGCACAUACUGUGUCAGCCAGGAGCUUACAUCUCCACUGUCGAAUCAUCCUGUUGUUGUCAAAUGGACAGGCUCCCUGUAUUACAUAUUAUGUAUUUACUUGUUGUAUUUUCUCCACCAUGGCUAUCAGUCAGGACACACCAAUCUAGAAGCAUGUGUCAGGGGCACAAAGGACUCUGUAGAGGUACCGCUGGCGUAGGUCAUGNNNNNNNNNNNNNAUCCAGGCAGGUAGUCCUGUCACAUCUGUACCGUAUCUCUCUUGCUAAUACUGGAAGACGGGUACCUCUUAGCCAUCCUUCGUAGUUUCACUCUCAGCUUACCUCACCCUCAACUUCUGGUUGCUUUGGUUACAUGCAAACUGCUGUGUUUCGGAGUUCUAGAAAUUGUAAAUGAAGGUACUUUUUCCGCCUUUAAAAAUGUAUUGUUUUUUCCUUAGAGGGCACACACUUCUUGGCUUGUAGCGGUAAAGGAAAUUUGCAUGGCAUUGAUAAGGCACACUCUCCUCUUUGGGAGUUUUUUUCCUCUUUCACCCUUGCUCAUCAUCCUGGCCGCCAUGUUUUAAUGUUGCUGUGGUUUCAUUGCUUGCAUUCCAAAUAUCAUGUACAUUUACUGUAAAAACAUCUAAUACAGUUAGGCAAAUUGUUUCCUUUUUAAUAUUCAAUUUAUUUAUUUAUCCAUCCAUCCAC
RNAcentral lists this long non-coding RNA (1784 nucleotides) under Struthio camelus australis. Its description in RNAcentral is "lncRNA (ENSSCUG00000009426.1)". Lineage: Eukaryota; Metazoa; Chordata; Aves; Struthioniformes; Struthionidae. The record is from RNAcentral.